Molecule: non-coding RNA, 138 nt
Organism: Ornithorhynchus anatinus (platypus)
Lineage: Eukaryota; Metazoa; Chordata; Mammalia; Monotremata; Ornithorhynchidae
Source: Rfam
CCCCUCUCAGGGUUGCACCUGGAGAGUUUCCAGGACUUUAUCAGUUUUAACUAGGAGAGGGAGAGUCAAGCAGAGGCAUAUCCAUUCUAUUACUAAUUUGGGCAGUGGCUAGCAAAUGGAAGGCAAUCUGCUACAAGU